CUUAAUGGCAUGCAUGGACCGCGCAUGGCGCAACUCGAUGUUCAUCGGUGGUGGUGUGUGUACUCCCGGUGAUGCAAGUCGUGUCCGCAUAUAAGAGUAUAAUAGGUCGCCUAUACACCGAUACGUCAGAUACGUCACCGAUACACGUAUUCAUGGAGUAACCUGUUUUUUGAUUUCAAAAGAAAGAAAGAAAUACUUAUACGGCCGCCGGAACGGCGUCGGCACACCGGGGACACCGGAAGGCCAGUGCAAGCCCACUCGUAAGUCGUAACCUGAACAGCUAGCGCAUCGCCGCCGCGGAUGACUGGAGUCGCUCAUUGCCGCCGCCGACGCCGCAGACGCCACCUCGAGUCGCUCGUCGCUGCUCCCGCCGUCUGAAGUUGCUCACCGCCGUCUGGACUCUCUUCGCCUAUGCCGCCGCCGUCCUCCCGCACUUACUUGCUGCCUUGCUUGUACCGUGAUGAGGGCGUGCUGGUUGUGUGUGCUUGUUUGCGCCAUACAUGAUUGGCUGUUGUUUAUGUGUGCGUGCUUGCUGACUGCUGGCAAACUGCUGAGUAAAUCGAUAGUCAUGCAGGAGGCAAGGCUAGCUCGAGUAAAGUAAAGUGAUGGUCGUUCGGUCCUCGAGAAAUAUGCAUGGACGCAACAAAUGGGCAGUGUUUUGAUUUCAUCUCCAUUCAAUUCAUUGU
Molecule: long non-coding RNA, 686 nt
Filed under: Hordeum vulgare
Lineage: Eukaryota; Viridiplantae; Streptophyta; Magnoliopsida; Poales; Poaceae
Description: long non-coding RNA (HVUL_LNC000123)
Source: RNAcentral